This 373-nucleotide ribosomal RNA is filed under the name uncultured bacterium. RNAcentral's name for it is "bacterial SSU rRNA". It matches the Rfam family "Bacterial small subunit ribosomal RNA", at positions 527 to 898 of the family's 1533-position model. The record is from RNAcentral.
GUAGGUGGCAAGCGUUAUCCGGAAUUAUUGGGCGUAAAGCGCGCGCAGGCGGUUUCUUAAGUCUGAUGUGAAAGCCCACGGCUCAACCGUGGAGGGUCAUUGGAAACUGGGGAACUUGAGUGCAGAAGAGAAAAGCGGAAUUCCACGUGUAGCGGUGAAAUGCGUAGAGAUGUGGAGGAACACCAGUGGCGAAGGCGGCUUUUUGGUCUGUAACUGACGCUGAGGCGCGAAAGCGUGGGGAGCAAACAGGAUUAGAUACCCUGGUAGUCCACGCCGUAAACGAUGAGUGCUAAGUGUUAGAGGGUUUCCGCCCUUUAGUGCUGCAGCUAACGCAUUAAGCACUCCGCCUGGGGAGUACGGUCGCAAGACUGAA